CAUGUUACGGUUGCGGCCUGGCCUCCGGAGCUCUGCGCAGACACGGGGCUCUGGUGUCACAGGAUUGUUCUGUGUGUAGCUGUGGUGUCACCUGCGGCUCGGCCUCGCCCUCCCGUGGCGGGCCUGGGCUGCGGGCUUCGCGCCGGGGACGCUGUGGACAGGGACCAGCGCCCUCAGUCCGGGGUGCGCGCGGCGUUCCGGAGGCGCCUGCGCGGCACGGCGAGCCCACGGGAGGGGCCGGGGGCCCCGAGAGCGCGGGGUGGGCAGUGUCGCCCGUGCCCGCCGCCCGCCGUCGGGGAGCUCUGGUGUCCGCGUAGACGGGGCGCGCUGGGAGCUGGCAGCCUGGGUCCUUUGGAGCAAGCUCGGGUCAGGAGGGAGAGGAGAGAAGGGAAGAGAAGGUCCGCCCGGAGUAGACCUGCAGCCGGCGGACCCUUGGUCCGUCUCCUGUGGGCGUCUUUCCACCCUCUCCUCCUGGACGCCAGCUCAGCCCCGUCCCCCUUACAGCAGGUGACGGCUCUCUCCUUCCUGGUCAAAGGAAAGACCUCGGGGUAACUCCCUCAACUCCUUGCUGCUCCUGCCUUCUCUGAAUUCGUCUCUACAUACUCAAGGAAGGGCUACCCUUUGUCGUCCCUUCCUGUCUCCAACCCAGUAGGCACUGUGCUAGGUGAUGGAGAGCAGUGGUGAAGAAAAAGACAUGCUGGGGAGACAGACAAAAACAGAAAAAUGUUGUAAUUACAAGCUGUGACAAGUAUCAUAAAGGAAGCAAAGUGCUGAGAUAAACAUGGUGGCAGGAAAAGGGGAGGAGACUUUCUUUAGAGAAAGUAGUCAGAGCUAGAUGGCGCCAAAGCAAACCUGUGGCAGUGCCCCAGCUUUAACCACGCAGAAGAGGAAAGUAUCCUAAGGUAUGGCAGAGGACCGAGAGGAAAGGAACCAGGGUCCACAGGUGACUCGAGCUGAGCCACCCUGCCGCCUGGGCCACUUCUACCUCUGGACUGUUAAGUGAGAAAGAAGCUUCUACUUCAUUCAAAUCACUGUAUUUUUGGGUCUCUCUUAUUGCAGCGUACUCUGUGCAGAUAUAGGGAAGCUCACAGAGGAAAACCCAGCUAACCAAAACUCAGAAAGGGCAGGAACCAAAAGCUCCAGGCAUCUCCAGGGCGCCCCAAUGGGAUGAGGCAGCCUCAGCCUCCUGUAAGGAGUCUGAUUUUCUAGUUUGAGCCCUGCAUCCUCCUACAAUAUUUAUAUUCGUAUCCAUUUUUAUUAUAAUUAUGUUGUAAAUAAAACUAUGUUCUGAUUUUCUCAUUUGUCACUAUACUUUCAGUGGCAGUAUAAGUCUCUCAGUUUGAUGCAUAAUUUAUGAUGACUUAAACUGAACCACUGUCUGUUACACUAACCACCACUUCAUCAUUCUGUACAUUUCACCUGUAUUGAUAUGCAUACUAUCCAGUGCUAAGUCAAUUAUGCACAAACUUGAAUCGGUGUCUGCCUUUUUUUCGGUUCUGUGACUAUUUUUUCCCAGCUUUAUUGAGGUAUAAUUGACAAAUAAAAUUGAAAGACGUUUAAAGUGUACAACGUGAUGAUUUGAUAUACGUAUACAUUGUGAAAGGAUUCCCUCUAUCAGGUUAAUUAACACAUCCAUCACCUCACAUAGUUACUUUUUCUUUCUUUUUUUUUUUUUGGUGAGAACAUUUAAGUUCUACUCUCUUAGCAAAUUUCAGUUAUCCAAUACAGUUAUCAGUUAUAGUCACCAUGUUAUACAUUAGAUCCUCAGACCUUAUUCAUCUUUUUUUUAAAAUUUUUUGUUUAUUGCAGUAACAGUGGUUUAUAUCGUAAAAAUUUCAGGUGUACAUCAUUAUACUUCUAUUUCUGCAUAGAUUACAUCAUUAUUCAUCUUAUAAUUGAAAGUUUGCACCCUUUUACCACCUCUCCCUGUAUCCCCCACCCCCACCCCAGCUCCUGGCAACCACUUUUCUACCUCUGUUUCUAUGAGUUCAAUUUUUUUUUUUUUUAGAUUCCACAUAUAAAUGAUACCAUGCAGUAUUUGUCUUUGUCAGGCUUAUUUCACUUAGCAUAAUGCCCUCUAGGUUCAUCCAUGUCUCAACUGACAGCAUUUCCUUCUUUUUAAAGGCUGCAGAAUAUUCCUCUGUGUGUGUGUGUGUGUGUACAUUUUCUGGAUCCAUUCAUUGGUGGACGGAGACUUAGGUUGCUUCCAUACCUUGGCUAUUGUGAAUAAAGUUGCAAUGAACAUGGGAAUGCACAUAUCUCUUCCCGAUGAUGGUUUUGUUUCCUUUGGACUGGGAUGGCUGGACCAUAGGGUAGUUCUAUUUUGAAUUUCUUGCGGAACCUCGAUGCUGUUUCCAUAGUGGCUGCACCCAUUUACAUUCCCACCAACAGUGCACAAGGAUUUCCAUAUCUUCACCAGCAUUUGUUAUCAUGGUUGUUUACUUUUUAAGAGUGCAAAAAACAAGGUCAUGUCUGGCUGCAUGGGGUUUUGCUCGUUCAAAACAUAACCCGAAUGGCUGUUAAUUUUGAGGCACUAAACGUUAGAAGGGAUACUGCACUCAUCCCAAAUGGAAUGUCUCAGUCUGUCUACAAAACUGCACUCGUUGGGCUCAAGACAUUUAUAAAUUAGUCCUUCCCGGACGUUAAACGAGGAAGAGCAUGGGGUCAGACGGAAAGGCUUUCUGCACUAGUCGGGGGAGAAAGCUUGUGGGCACGCUGGCUCCCGGCUUGCGGCCUCAGCAGCCGUCAGGCAGGAGCACCGGACAGGCUGAGGCUGGAUCCAGGCCGCACAGGCCCCAACUGCUAAGCCCCGAGAGAACAGCGGAGGAGGAGGCCCGACGCGGCCGAAGAAAGAAGGCGCAGAGAUCACAGACUAAGAGAGAAAGGGGUGCGCCCGGAGGAAAGCUACUGCUGGACCGCCAGCCGAGACCGGCUGCAGAACAGUACAGGGACC
Molecule: long non-coding RNA, 2953 nt
Organism: Diceros bicornis minor
Lineage: Eukaryota; Metazoa; Chordata; Mammalia; Perissodactyla; Rhinocerotidae
Exons: 3
Source: RefSeq, a predicted model, not a curated record